UAUAAAUAGAAUUUUCCAUAUUGUUUCGGUAUUACCUCUACAGUUAGAUUCGGACGCUUUGUACAAAUCACCGUCAUUCAUUGUUAUCGAUUAUAAGUUCAAAAAGAAACUUUGCAGGCGAGUGGUUAUUCUUUAUUAUGUGUAUGAUUUAUUCUAGUUUUCCAAAUUUGUCUACAAAGCGAAUAAAAAAAACACCAACUAUUGAAAGCACUUUGACACUGUAUUUAUCCG
This 231-nucleotide unclassified non-coding RNA is filed under the name Hevea brasiliensis (rubber tree). The record is from RNAcentral. Lineage: Eukaryota; Viridiplantae; Streptophyta; Magnoliopsida; Malpighiales; Euphorbiaceae.